This 467-nucleotide ribosomal RNA is filed under the name uncultured bacterium. RNAcentral's name for it is "bacterial SSU rRNA". It matches the Rfam family "Bacterial small subunit ribosomal RNA", at positions 330 to 796 of the family's 1533-position model. The record is from RNAcentral.
CCCAGACUCCUACGGGAGGCAGCAGUGAGGAAUAUUGGUCAAUGGCCGGAAGGCUGAACCAGCCAAGCCGCGUGAAGGACGAAGGUGCCAAGCAUUGUAAACUUCUUUUGUCAAGGGACAAAAUCAGGCUCGAGAGCCUGACCGAGGGUACUUGAAGAAAAAGCAUCGGCUAACUCCGUGCCAGCAGCCGCGGUAAUACGGAGGAUGCAAGCGUUAUCCGGAUUUAUUGGGUUUAAAGGGUGCGUAGGCGGGACGGUAAGUCAGCGGUAAAAAUGCGGAGCUCAACUCCGUCGAGCCGUUGAAACUGCCGUUCUUGAGUGAGCGAGAAGUAUGCGGAAUUCGUGGUGUAGCGGUGAAAUGCUUAGAUAUCACGAAGAACCCCGAUUGCGAAGGCAGCAUGCCGGCUCCACGCUGACGCUGAGGCACGAAAGCGUGGGUAUCGAACAGGAUUAGAUACCCCAGUAACC